UACGUAGGGGGCGAGCGUUGUCCGGAAUCAUUGGGCGUAAAGCGCGUGUAGGCGGCCCGGUAAGUCCGCUGUGAAAGUCCAGGGCUCAACCCUGGGAUGCCGGUGGAUACUGUCGGGCUGGAGUCCGGAAGAGGCGAGUGGAAUUCCUGGUGUAGCGGUGAAAUGCGCAGAUAUCAGGAGGAACACCAAUGGCGAAGGCAGCUCGCUGGGACGUGACUGACGCUGAGACGCGAAAGCGUGGGGAGCAAACAGG
This 253-nucleotide ribosomal RNA is filed under the name uncultured bacterium. RNAcentral's name for it is "partial 16S ribosomal RNA". It matches the Rfam family "Bacterial small subunit ribosomal RNA", at positions 524 to 776 of the family's 1533-position model. The record is from RNAcentral.